RNAcentral lists this ribosomal RNA (486 nucleotides) under uncultured bacterium. Its description in RNAcentral is "partial 16S ribosomal RNA". It matches the Rfam family "Bacterial small subunit ribosomal RNA", at positions 29 to 523 of the family's 1533-position model. The record is from RNAcentral.
AAUGAACGCUGGCGGCAUGCCUAACACAUGCAAGUCGAACGAAGAAAACAGCUUGCUGUUUUCUUAGUGGCAAACGGGUGAGUAACGCGUGGGAAUCUACCUAUCUGUGGGGGAUAACUGAGGGAAACUUCAGCUAAUACCGCAUACGCUCGGAAACGAGGAAAGAUUUAUUGCAGAUAGAUGAGCCCGCGUCAGAUUAGCUGGUUGGUGGGGUAAUGGCCUACCAAGGCGACGGUCGGUAGCUGGUCUGAGAGGAUGAUCAGCCACACUGGGACUGAGACACGGCCCAGACUCCUACGGGAGGCAGCAGUGGGGAAUUUUGGACAAUGGGGGCAACCCUGAUCCAGCCAUGCCGCGUGCGGGAAGAAGGCCUUCGGGUUGUAAACCGCUUUUAGCCGGGACGAAAGCCUCGCGGAUAACACCUGCGGGGGUUGACGGUACCGGCGGAAUAAGCACCGGCUAACUACGUGCCAGCAGCCGCCGCGG